RNAcentral lists this long non-coding RNA (2960 nucleotides) under Panax ginseng (ginseng). RNAcentral's name for it is "long non-coding RNA (PGIN_LNC001711)". The record is from RNAcentral. Lineage: Eukaryota; Viridiplantae; Streptophyta; Magnoliopsida; Apiales; Araliaceae.
UUCGACCUGUUCAGGCGCCUCCAUGUUCCUCCAUCGAUAGAGCAAUAGUAGUAUUAUUUAAGCAUAUACACAAGUAACACAAUUUAUUUAUUUAUUUUUCGGUUGAUAAUUGCCGGUGAUGAGAGAUAUUGGCCAUGAGCUGCCACAACAAAUUGCGCACCCACUGGGUAAAUCUACCCAUUGGGGUUGUUGAUGCAAGGAAGAAUGUGGCAUUAUGCUAAUCUGAGGCUUUUAAUUACGCAUAUUCGUAUACUAUUAUUAUAUAUCGUUUAGUCUUUUGGUAAGGAUGAUGUAAGUGCCAAAUUUUGUUUUUGAAUUUCUUGGAGUUGAAGAUAUUGACAUACUAAUAGUUCAUGUUUUAUAUAUUUGGGUGGAUUACUCCUUUUUUUCAUGCAUUUCAAGGUGUUUUUUUUAAUAUGUACUGUCUAUUUGAUUUCUCCAACUGUGAAAAAUAAAGCACAUAUGAGGUUCAACAUUAUAUUGCUGGCUGCUUGUGACCAUGGCAAAAUAUAAUCCUCUGCAGUUGAUCAAUUUAGUUUUGACUUCUGAGUUAGGAUAUGGAUGCUUGAAUUAUAAACUGUUCAAUCCAAUUUUGCAUACCUUUUUAAAACAAUAUGAAAUUCUCGAAUUGUUUCAGUGAUUUUAUAGGGUAUAAUCUCAUUGCACAACAUUUUCAACCCCUAGCAACAAGUAUUAUAUACAGCUUCCAUUGAAAUUUUAUAUUUUAUACGUUGAUUGGAUCUUGAAAAUCUGUUAAUAAUUAUUGCAUGAGAUGUAACAUUUUGUAGACUUGUGGUUGUGUCUUGGGUUGCUGAUGUAAGGAAGAAUAUACACACAUACGGGCAUUCGUGGGUGUAAAUAUGCAUAUGCGUCUACAAAUAGUUGAGUGAAUCUUGAAAACAGCUACUUCGGCUCUGAUUUUAGGGCUUUCAAACAACGAAUUGAGAGAGGAUAUUUUUGUACAAUAAUUUAUUUUUCUAAUUUGUUCUUUAGCAUCUGAAGUGUACUUUUUAUAAAGAAAUGAAAAAUAUUGUAUUUAAAUAUGCUAUGGGCAAGUCUGAAAAACCAUGUCACUUAUGAUUAUUAAUCAUAACACUCAAAUUCGGAUGGAGUCUAAUUCAUAAAAUUUUCAGUUAUUUAUGCGAGCAAGAUGAUUCCUAGAUCACAAAUAAGUUGUUGAAGCUCAAUGUUUUAUGGUCAUUCAAAUUCUUCAAGUAGGCAUAAUAUAUGAAGAGUUUGUUCUGAUCUUUUAUCAGUAUUUGGAAAUCAUUGGAUAUUAUGUGCUUUUUUAUAAGAAUGAGAAUACAUUUUGAUACCGAUACAAACUUGAUCAACUCAUGCACAUAUGUUAUUAUUUAUUAUUGCUGGUGAUGACAGAUAUUGGCCAUGAGCUACAACAACAAAUUGCGUACCCAUGGUAAAAAUUAUUUAUGGAGUUGUAGAUGCUACGAAGAAUGUGGCAAUAUGCUAAUCUGAGCCUUCAGUAUAUUUCCAGUAUAUGUAUGCAUCUAGUUGAAACAACUAAUUGUUCGAAAAAUGUUUCUUCUGAAUUAUGAUGAAUUUUUUAAAUACCUUGUAGUCUCAUUCUUAUUCUUCCAAGCAAGGCAAAAAGAUUGAAUUGACUUGCAAAAUUAUGAAUGUUUGGUGAAGGUGGCUGACUUAAAAGUUGAAUUUGAUACUUAACUUUCUGUUCACUGACAAUAUCUGAUCUGCGCUUGUAAAUAAAUCAUAUUUUAUGAUUUAAUCAUUUUUAAUUUUUUAUAUAUAAUUCCUAUAUCUUUUUCUAUUAUUUUGUAUUUUCUCUGUUGUCAUUUGAUAAUAUAUUUUCUAAUUUAUAUCUUCCUACUAUAAGCUAUAUCAAAUAUGAACGCAACGUGUAUCUUGCAUUUUUUUUGCUGUCUUGUGGCUUGAUGUUUAGAAAUGAUCAUAGGAAAUUGUUUGUACUCACUUCGUGUUUAUCAGUAUAUGAAUAGUAGUAGUCAAAACAUUCUUCUUGUUGAACUUUGUUUAUUUUUAAAAGUUUUCAUGUAACUUUAGCAUGAUCCAACAUAAUAAUCUUAUUUACCCAUUUUUCUGUGCUUUAGUUUUACGUACUGUUUAUUUAUGUGUUGAAUGAAGUGCAUAGAUUCUACAAAAUUAAACUCUGUAUGGAAUGUCUGGAUGCAGAUUGGUUUAGAACAUUGGCAAGAGCUGCUAUAACUUUUUGUGCUCUCGUGGUUGUGAUCUAAGGUUGUUGGUUCCAGGAAGAAUGUGCCAGUAUGCUGAUACACUGUUGUGAAAAGGAAAUAUGUAGUUUGUUUGUGCAUGUGAAUAGAUCUUUCUUAUGUCUGUAUUUCUUAGUGAAAAGCUAGUGUGCAUAGGUAUGAAUAUUCAAACGGCAUGGUUCAAAAAUAUGUCUGUGGCCUGCAUUCAUGCUUAGGGCAUUCACUUAUGUUUAUUUGGAUGUGUGUAAUAUUUUUUACCUGUUUGUGGUCCAAUGGGAACUCGAAGGAGAAGGUAUUCAGAUGUGUGAUUAAAAGUGCCUGUUUACUUUUAAUAUUCCCUUUGGUUGUGGGGAUGUGUUUACAGCAAAGGAAGUUUGGAUAUGCCGUGAUGCCAGAAGGAAAAGUUGGACAUACUGAUGAAGCUCUACCCCUUUGAAACCAGAACCAGCCUUCGAAAAGUGGUAGCAAGAUAAUGAAAAAUAGACAUCCUCAUGUCUGCAAAACUGGGAUAAGGAACAAGAGGCUGCUUAAUUAGCAGCAAGGCAGAGGCACUCUUUUUGGGUAAGCAGGAAGUUGGAUCCUAGAAUUGGUCUUUUUAUGAUUGACUAUGUUGUUAGAUCUUAAACCUGGUUUUGGUCUUGUACAGGACACCAAUAUUUUACAUGGUUUCUUUUCUCAAUCUUGAAAUUGUCUUUUCUUUUAGUUUAUGCUGUUAUCUUCUCAUUUUAUUUUAAUAAAAGCCUCUGUUUAUUUCUA